Molecule: transfer RNA, 115 nt
Filed under: Candidatus Aeolococcus gillhamiae
Lineage: Bacteria; Bacillati; Candidatus Dormiibacterota; Candidatus Dormibacteria; Candidatus Aeolococcales; Candidatus Aeolococcaceae
Description: tRNA-Gly
Source: RNAcentral
GUGGAAGUUGAGGGUAAGUAGUGGUUUAGAAGCCGGUUUUGGUCCCUUCUGAAUACAGAAUUAGAACGGUACCUUGCCAAGGUAAGGGUCGCGAGUUCGAGCCUCGUCUCCCGCU